GAGCUAUGAUGAAAAUCGAAAGUGAUGGUGGGUCCAUCACAUUCUCAUCCAUUCGAUGAAAACAAAUAAAUCUGAGCUU
This is a small nucleolar RNA of Gastrolobium bilobum, 79 nucleotides long. RefSeq annotates it as small nucleolar RNA snoR114. The record is from RefSeq and is a predicted model, not a curated record. The transcript has a single exon. Lineage: Eukaryota; Viridiplantae; Streptophyta; Magnoliopsida; Fabales; Fabaceae.